UACGUAGGGUGCAAGCGUUGUCCGGAAUUAUUGGGCGUAAAGAGCUCGUAGGCGGCUUGUCACGUCUGCUGUGAAAACUCGGGGCUCAACCCCGAGCCUGCAGUGGAUACGGGCUAGCUAGAGUGCGGUAGGGGAGACUGGAAUUCCUGGUGUAGCGGUGAAAUGCGCAGAUAUCAGGAGGAACACCGGUGGCGAAGGCGGGUCUCUGGACCGAUACUGACGCUGCGGAGCGAAAGCGUGGGGAGCGAACAGG
This 253-nucleotide ribosomal RNA is filed under the name uncultured bacterium. RNAcentral describes it as "partial 16S ribosomal RNA". It matches the Rfam family "Bacterial small subunit ribosomal RNA", at positions 524 to 776 of the family's 1533-position model. The record is from RNAcentral.